This 699-nucleotide ribosomal RNA is filed under the name uncultured bacterium. RNAcentral's name for it is "bacterial SSU rRNA". It matches the Rfam family "Bacterial small subunit ribosomal RNA", at positions 78 to 773 of the family's 1533-position model. The record is from RNAcentral.
GCUUGCUUCUCUUGAGAGCGGCGGACGGGUGAGUAAUGCCUAGGAAUCUGCCUGGUAGUGGGGGAUAACGUCCGGAAACGGACGCUAAUACCGCAUACGUCCUACGGGAGAAAGCAGGGGACCUUCGGGCCUUGCGCUAUCAGAUGAGCCUAGGUCGGAUUAGCUAGUUGGUGGGGUAAUGGCUCACCAAGGCGACGAUCCGUAACUGGUCUGAGAGGAUGAUCAGUCACACUGGAACUGAGACACGGUCCAGACUCCUACGGGAGGCAGCAGUGGGGAAUAUUGGACAAUGGGCGAAAGCCUGAUCCAGCCAUGCCGCGUGUGUGAAGAAGGUCUUCGGAUUGUAAAGCACUUUAAGUUGGGAGGAAGGGCAGUAAAUUAAUACUUUGCUGUUUUGACGUUACCGACAGAAUAAGCACCGGCUAACUCUGUGCCAGCAGCCGCGGUAAUACAGAGGGUGCAAGCGUUAAUCGGAAUUACUGGGCGUAAAGCGCGCGUAGGUGGUUCGUUAAGUUGGAUGUGAAAUCCCCGGGCUCAACCUGGGAACUGCAUUCAAAACUGACGAGCUAGAGUAUGGUAGAGGGUGGUGGAAUUUCCUGUGUAGCGGUGAAAUGCGUAGAUAUAGGAAGGAACACCAGUGGCGAAGGCGACCACCUGGACUGAUACUGACACUGAGGUGCGAAAGCGUGGGGAGCAAAC